CCUACGGGUGGCUGCAGUCGAGAAUUUUUGGCAAUGGGCGAAAGCCUGACCAAGCGAUGCCGCGUGCGGGAUGAAGGCCUUCGGGUUGUAAACCGCUGUCAGUGGGGAGGAAAGCUUUGUGAAGAGCAAGGCUUGACCUAUCCGCAGAGGAAGUGUGGGCUAAGUUCGUGCCAGCAGCCGCGGUAAGACGAACCACACAAAGGAUAUUCGGAGUUAAAGGGCUGCAUGGGUGCGGAGGCUGCGCGGGAGUGAAAUACCUCGGCGCAACCGAGGAACUGCGCCCAAAACUACUGUGCUUGAGGAAGAUAGAGGUAAGCGGAACUUACGGUGGAGCGGUGAAAUGCGUUGAUAUCGUAAGGAACACCUGUGGCGAAAGCGGCUUACUGGGUCUUUUCUGACGCUGAUGCACGAAAGCUAGGGGAGCAAACGGGAUUAGAUACCCUGGUAGUC
Molecule: ribosomal RNA, 450 nt
Filed under: uncultured bacterium
Lineage: Bacteria
Description: partial 16S ribosomal RNA
Rfam family: Bacterial small subunit ribosomal RNA
Source: RNAcentral